This 476-nucleotide ribosomal RNA is filed under the name uncultured bacterium. RNAcentral describes it as "bacterial SSU rRNA". It matches the Rfam family "Bacterial small subunit ribosomal RNA", at positions 791 to 1257 of the family's 1533-position model. The record is from RNAcentral.
UAGUCCACGCCGUAAACGAUGUCUACUUGGAGGUUGUGGCCUUGAGCCGUGGCUUUCGGAGCUAACGCGUUAAGUAGACCGCCUGGGGAGGUACGGUCGCAAGAUUAAAACUACAAAUAGAAUUGACGGGGCCCGGCACAAGCGGUGGAGCAUGUGGUUUAAUUCGAUGCAACGCGAAGAACCUUACCUACUCUUGACAUCCAGAGAAGCCAGCGGAGACGCAGGUGUGCCUUCGGGAGCUCUGAGACAGGUGCUGCAUGGCUGUCGUCAGCUCGUGUUGUGAAAUGUUGGGUUAAGUCCCGCAACGAGCGCAACCCUUAUCCUUGUUUGCCAGCGAGUAAUGUCGGGAACUCCAGGGAGACUGCCGGUGAUAAACCGGGAGGAAGGGUGGGGACGACGGUCAAGGUCAUCAUGGGCCCUUACGAGUAGGGGCUACACACGUGCUACAAUGGCGCAUACAGAGGGCAGCGAACUUG